UUACAGGCUUAACACAUGCAAGUCGAGGGGCAGCAUGGUCUUAUCUUGCUAAGGCCGAUGGCGACCGGCGCACGGGUGAGUAACACGUAUCCAACCUGCCGUCUACUCUUGGACAGCCUUCUGAAAGGAAGAUUAAUACAAGAUGGCAUCAUGAGUCCGCAUGUUCACAUGAUUAAAGGUAUUCCGGUAGACGAUGGGGAUGCGUUCCAUUAGAUAGUAGGCGGGGUAACGGCCCACCUAGUCUUCGAUGGAUAGGGGUUCUGAGAGGAAGGUCCCCCACAUUGGAACUGAGACACGGUCCAAACUCCUACGGGAGGCAGCAGUGAGGAAUAUUGGUCAAUGGGCGAGAGCCUGAACCAGCCAAGUAGCGUGAAGGAUGACUGCCCUAUGGGUUGUAAACUUCUUUUAUAAAGGAAUAAAGUCGGGUAUGGAUACCCGUUUGCAUGUACUUUAUGAAUAAGGAUCGGCUAACUCCGUGCCAGCAGCCGCGGCAAUACGGAGGAUCCGAGCGUUAUCCGGAUUUAUUGGGUUUAAAGGGAGCGUAGAUGGAUGUUUAAGUCAGUUGUGAAAGUUUGCGGCUCAACCGUAAAAUUGCAGUUGAUACUGGAUAUCUUGAGUGCAGUUGAGGCAGGCGGAAUUCGUGGUGUAGCGGUGAAAUGCUUAGAUAUCACGAAGAACUCCGAUUGCGAAGGCAGCCUGCUAAGCUGCAACUGACAUUGAGGCUCGAAAGUGUGGGUAUCAAACAGGAUUAGAUACCCUGGUAGUCCACACGGUAAACGAUGAAUACUCGCUGUUUGCGAUAUACUGCAAGCGGCCAAGCGAAAGCGUUAAGUAUUCCACCUGGGGAGUACGCCGGCAACGGUGAAACUCAAAGGAAUUGACGGGGGCCCGCACAAGCGGAGGAACAUGUGGUUUAAUUCGAUGAUACGCGAGGAACCUUACCCGGGCUUAAAUUGCAGAUGAAUUACGGUGAAAGCCGUAAGCCGCAAGGCAUCUGUGAAGGUGCUGCAUGGUUGUCGUCAGCUCGUGCCGUGAGGUGUCGGCUUAAGUGCCAUAACGAGCGCAACCCUUGUUGUCAGUUACUAACAGGUUCCGCUGAGGACUCUGACAAGACUGCCAUCGUAAGAUGUGAGGAAGGUGGGGAUGACGUCAAAUCAGCACGGCCCUUACGUCCGGGGCUACACACGUGUUACAAUGGGGGGUACAGAGGGCCGCUACCACGCGAGUGGAUGCCAAUCCCCAAAACCUCUCUCAGUUCGGACUGGAGUCUGCAACCCGACUCCACGAAGCUGGAUUCGCUAGUAAUCGCGCAUCAGCCACGGCGCGGUGAAUACGUUCCCGGGCCUUGUACACACCGCCCGUCAAGCCAUGGGAGCCGGGGGUACCUGAAGUGCGUAACCGCGAGGAGCGCCCUAGGGUAAAACUGGUGACUGGGG
Molecule: ribosomal RNA, 1436 nt
Filed under: uncultured bacterium
Lineage: Bacteria
Description: bacterial SSU rRNA
Rfam family: Bacterial small subunit ribosomal RNA
Source: RNAcentral